Molecule: ribosomal RNA, 253 nt
Filed under: uncultured bacterium
Lineage: Bacteria
Description: partial 16S ribosomal RNA
Rfam family: Bacterial small subunit ribosomal RNA
Source: RNAcentral
UACAGAGGGUGCGAGCGUUAAUCGGAAUUACUGGGCGUAAAGCGCACGUAGUCGGCUUUGCAAGUCGGGUGUGAAAUCCCCGGGCUCAACCUGGGAACUGCAUCCAAGACUGCAUUGCUAGAGUAUGGGAGAGGGAAGCGGAAUUUCUGGUGUAGCAGUGAAAUGCGUAGAUAUCAGAAGGAACAUCAGUGGCGAAGGCGGCUUCCUGGACCAAUACUGACGAUCAGGUGCGAAAGCGUGGGGAGCAAACAGG